Molecule: ribosomal RNA, 528 nt
Filed under: uncultured bacterium
Lineage: Bacteria
Description: partial 16S ribosomal RNA
Rfam family: Bacterial small subunit ribosomal RNA
Source: RNAcentral
UGGGGAAUAUUGCACAAUGGGCGAAAGCCUGAUGCAGCAACGCCGCGUGAGUGAUGAAGGCCUUCGGGUUGUAAAGCUCUGUCUUUUGGGACGAUAAUGACGGUACCAAAGGAGGAAGCCACGGCUAACUACGUGCCAGCAGCCGCGGUAAUACGUAGGUGGCAAGCGUUGUCCGGAUUUACUGGGCGUAAAGGAUGCGUAGGCGGAUUUUUAAGUGAGAUGUGAAAUACCCGGGCUUAACUUGGGUGCUGCAUUUCAAACUGGGAAUCUAGAGUGCGGGAGAGGAGAAUGGAAUUCCUAGUGUAGCGGUGAAAUGCGUAGAGAUUAGGAAGAACACCAGUGGCGAAGGCGAUUCUCUGGACCGUAACUGACGCUGAGGCAUGAAAGCGUGGGUAGCAAACAGGAUUAGAUACCCUGGUAGUCCACGCCGUAAACGAUGAGUACUAGGUGUAGGAGGUAUCGACCCCUCUGUGCCGCAGUUAACACAAUAAGUACUCCGCCUGGGAAGUACGAUCGCAAGAUUAAAAA